RNAcentral lists this ribosomal RNA (484 nucleotides) under uncultured bacterium. RNAcentral describes it as "bacterial SSU rRNA". It matches the Rfam family "Bacterial small subunit ribosomal RNA", at positions 359 to 833 of the family's 1533-position model. The record is from RNAcentral.
GAGAUUUUCGCAAUGCCCGAAAGGGUGACGAAGCGACGCCGCGUGCGGGAAGAAGGCCUUCGGGUUGUAAACCGCUGUCGGGAGUUAAGAAAUGUAAGGAUGUUAAUAGCAUCUUUGCUUGACUAAGGCUCCGGAGGAAGCCACGGCUAACUCUGUGCCAGCAGCCGCGGUAAUACAGAGGCGGCAAGCGUUGUUCGGAAUUAUUGGGCGUAAAGAGCACGUAGGCAGCUAUGUAAGUCGGUUGUGAAAGCCUUCUGCUUAACGGAAGAACAGCAGUUGAAACUACAGCGCUUGAGUGCGGGAGGGGAGAGUGGAACUUCUGGUGGAGCGGUGAAAUGCGUAGAUAUCAGAAGGAACGCCGGCGGCGAAAGCGGCUCUCUGGCCCGUAACUGACGCUGAGUGUGCGAAAGCCAGGGGAGCAAACAGGAUUAGAUACCCUGGUAGUCCUGGCCGUAAACGAUGGGCACUAAGUAGAGGGGUUUUA